This 255-nucleotide ribosomal RNA is filed under the name uncultured bacterium. RNAcentral's name for it is "partial 16S ribosomal RNA". It matches the Rfam family "Bacterial small subunit ribosomal RNA", at positions 524 to 776 of the family's 1533-position model. The record is from RNAcentral.
UACGGGGGGGGGCAAGCGUUGUUCGGAAUUACUGGGCGUAAAGGGCGCGUAGGCGGUCGUGACAAGUCACUUGUGAAAUCUCCGGGCUUAACUCGGAACGGUCAAGUGAUACUGUCGGACUAGAGUACAGAAGGGGCAACUGGAAUUCUCGGUGUAGCGGUGAAAUGCGUAGAGAUCGGCAGGAACACCCGUGGCGGAAGCGGCCGCCUAGCCCGCACCUGACGCUGAGGCGCGACAGCGUGGGGAGCGAACGGG